CAGCGUUGUGUUCUGAAUCAUUGAAAGAACAUGUUAGGAGCACUUGUCUCCUUGCGAUUAUUUUGGUCUCAAGUGUUUUAAAAUGUUGACGAAAUCCGAUUUUUUUUUCUUUUUUGUACUCAAUUGGGGGCUAAAUUAAUUGGUCGUGUACAGUGGGAAGUGAGUCUGAUGAUGAACAAUUAGCGGGAAAUACGCUUUUUGCACGAUUUGGUCUGUCUUCCAACUCCAAGUGACGAACAAAGUAUUUGAAACAACCAAAACUAAUCAAACUUUAAACUAAAAAAAACUAAAAAAAAAAAACUUAGGAGAAGAAGAGCUUGUCAUGUCUUUGUCAGUCAGUGAUCUUCGUGCUUCCAUGUUCCAAAGGCUUUUCUAGCUUUGAUUAUUCACACGUGUGGUUUUUAUUUGUUUAUUACUAGUUUGUUUUCUUUUCAAUUUUUUUUUUUUUUCAUUUUCAGAAUUUAUUUUUAGUAGGAAGUAGGAACACAUGACAGUGGAUAUGAUGUAACAUUUAUAUCAUAAGAAAAAAAAAGGAAAAGAUUUGUAUGUAGUGUAUUCCUCUGUCGUGUGUCAAUUAAUAUUCGUAGUUGUACAAAUAUUAAUUCCGGGGCCAAAACAUGAUCGAUGACUGUUAAUGACACAUUUACCAUUCUUCUACUCCAUCA
This 665-nucleotide long non-coding RNA is filed under the name Capsella rubella. RNAcentral's name for it is "long non-coding RNA (CRUB_LNC004690)". The record is from RNAcentral. Lineage: Eukaryota; Viridiplantae; Streptophyta; Magnoliopsida; Brassicales; Brassicaceae.